UACGUAGGGGGCUAGCGUUGUCCGGAUUUAUUGGGCGUAAAGAGCGUGUAGGCGGCCAUGUAGGUCCGGUGUGAAAACUCGAGGCUUAACCUCGAGAUGUCAUCGGAAACCAUUUGGCUAGAGUCCGGAAGAGGAGAGUGGAAUUCCUGGUGUAGCGGUGAAAUGCGCAGAUAUCAGGAAGAACACCAAUGGCGAAACCAGCUCUCUGGGACGGUACUGACGCUGAGACGCGAAAGCGUGGGGAGCGAACAGG
RNAcentral lists this ribosomal RNA (253 nucleotides) under uncultured bacterium. Its description in RNAcentral is "partial 16S ribosomal RNA". It matches the Rfam family "Bacterial small subunit ribosomal RNA", at positions 524 to 776 of the family's 1533-position model. The record is from RNAcentral.